AUUUUGAGCACAACUAGUAUGAUAACACUUUCAUAAUCAAUUUUUUUAGUAGCUAUAAUUCACUCCACUUUCUGAAGGUAGAAGUUGCACAAUGUAGAGGAUGAGAAUGCAAAAGGUAGGAAUUAUACAAAUACAUGUCUCACUGUAGCAUAUUCAUCAUCAAUUCCAUAGUAUUAGGAGGGAAAUACAAUAUUAACUAUCUUAUUUGAAUGAUGUAAUUCGCAAUUGAACCACAAGGCAAAAUGGAGAUAAAUAGCUAUUAGCUAUUGCAGCUACAUUCCCUUUUUGUUUUGUUUUUAUGUAUGCUUG
This 309-nucleotide unclassified non-coding RNA is filed under the name Hevea brasiliensis (rubber tree). The record is from RNAcentral. Lineage: Eukaryota; Viridiplantae; Streptophyta; Magnoliopsida; Malpighiales; Euphorbiaceae.